CAAAAACAAAACAAAAAAACAUUGAUACAUAUGAAUGUAAAUUUUUCUUAAAAUAAAUUAUUAAGAGAUUCUAUGAUCUAUCUUCACCUCUUCUUCUUAGUACGCUCAAACGGAUUUCAUGUUCUUGUCAAUCAAUUUAACGAUUUUCUUCGUGGUCGAAGAUUGGUCUCGUGCCUCCUCUCAUUUCUUUAUCACUAAAUAAAGAGUAUCGUGUUUUGAAACAGUACUUGGGAAUAAAUUUUGUUGUGGAAUCAAGAUCUUUACUCGCAAGCUCUCUCGUGAUAUCCUUCUAUUUUGUCUGAGUUAUCAGCUCUUCCCACACCUUUCUCGAAUACUGGCAUUGAAAAAACAAAUGCUCUCUCGUCUCCAACGGAUUUUUACAAAAUACGCAAUUUGUAUCCGCAUUUUGGUUCCAUUUAAUCAUUCUUU
RNAcentral lists this small RNA (429 nucleotides) under Arabidopsis thaliana (thale cress). Its description in RNAcentral is "ATSL069330". The record is from RNAcentral. Lineage: Eukaryota; Viridiplantae; Streptophyta; Magnoliopsida; Brassicales; Brassicaceae.